CACCAGCGCCACGAGUGGGGGCCGCUGUUAUUGGGUCUAAAGCGUCCGUAGCCGGUUUGAUAAAUCUUCUGUGAAAUCGUCAGGCUUAACCUAACGGCUUGCAGAAGAGACUGUCAGACUAGAGACCGGGAGGAGUUAGAGGUAUUCUUGGGGUAGCGGUAAAAUGCUAUAAUCCUCGGAAGACCACCUGUGGCAAAGGCGUCUAACCAGAACGGGUCUGACGGUGAGGGACGAAAGCUAGGGGA
This 245-nucleotide ribosomal RNA is filed under the name uncultured archaeon. RNAcentral's name for it is "partial 16S ribosomal RNA". It matches the Rfam family "Archaeal small subunit ribosomal RNA", at positions 474 to 718 of the family's 1478-position model. The record is from RNAcentral.